GAUGAACGCUGGCGGCGUGCCUAAUACAUGCAAGUCGAGCGAACAGAUGAGGAGCUUGCUCCUCUGACGUUAGCGGCGGACGGGUGAGUAACACGUGGAUAACCUACCUAUAAGACUGGGAUAACUUCGGGAAACCGGAGCUAAUACCGUAUAAUAUAUUGAACCGCAUGGUUCAAUAGUGAAAGACGGUUUUGCUGUCACUUAUAGAUGGAUCCGCGCCGCAUUAGCUAGUUGGUAAGGUAACGGCUUACCAAGGCAACGAUGCGUAGCCGACCUGAGAGGGUGAUCGGCCACACUGGAACUGAGACACGGUCCAGACUCCUACGGGAGGCAGCAGUAGGGAAUCUUCCGCAAUGGGCGAAAGCAUGACGGAGCAACGCCGCGUGAGUGAUGAAGGUCUUCGGAUCGUAAAACUCUGUUAUUAGGGAAGAACAAAUGUGUAAGUAACUAUGCACGUCUUGACGGUACCUAAUCAGAAAGCCACGGCUAACUACGUG
RNAcentral lists this ribosomal RNA (497 nucleotides) under uncultured bacterium. RNAcentral describes it as "partial 16S ribosomal RNA". It matches the Rfam family "Bacterial small subunit ribosomal RNA", at positions 28 to 507 of the family's 1533-position model. The record is from RNAcentral.